This 105-nucleotide small nucleolar RNA is filed under the name Gossypium hirsutum (cotton). Its description in RNAcentral is "Plant small nucleolar RNA R71". It matches the Rfam family "Plant small nucleolar RNA R71". Rfam says of the family: R71 is a member of the C/D box family of snoRNAs containing the C (UGAUGA) and D (CUGA) box motifs. Multiple nearly identical copies of this snoRNA have been identified in Arabidopsis, and it is thought to function as a 2'-O-ribose methylation guide for 18S ribosomal RNA. The record is from Rfam by way of RNAcentral. Lineage: Eukaryota; Viridiplantae; Streptophyta; Magnoliopsida; Malvales; Malvaceae.
CUGUGGAUGUGAGCAUUUCUAAAUUAGUGCCUUAAAAUGCUCCCAAGAUUCAUGAAAACUUUCUCCUUCUAACUGUUUAAAUGUGGUGAUCUCCCUCCUUAGUUG